Molecule: ribosomal RNA, 496 nt
Filed under: uncultured bacterium
Lineage: Bacteria
Description: partial 16S ribosomal RNA
Rfam family: Bacterial small subunit ribosomal RNA
Source: RNAcentral
AUGAGCGCUGGCGGCGUGCCUAAUCCCUGCAAGUCGCGCGAACAGACGAGGAGCUUGCUCCUCUGACGUUAGCGGCGGACGGGUGAGUAACACGUGGAUAACCUACCUAUAAGACUGGGAUAACUUCGGGAAACCGGAGCUAAUACCGGAUAAUAUAUUGAACCGCAUGGUUCAAUAGUGAAAGACGGUUUUGCUGUCACUUAUAGAUGGAUCCGCGCCGCAUUAGCUAGUUGGUAAGGUAACGGCUUACCAAGGCGACGAUGCGUAGCCGACCUGAGAGGGUGAUCGGCCACACUGGAACUGAGACACGGUCCAGACUCCUACGGGAGGCAGCAGUAGGGAAUCUUCCGCAAUGGGCGAAAGCCUGACGGAGCAACGCCGCGUGAGUGAUGAAGGUCUUCGGAUCGUAAAACUCUGUUAUUAGGGAAGAACAAAUGUGUAAGUAACUAUGCACGUCUUGACGGUACCUAAUCAGAAAGCCACGGCUAACUACGUG